RNAcentral lists this unclassified non-coding RNA (339 nucleotides) under soil metagenome. Its description in RNAcentral is "partial contains 5.8S ribosomal RNA, internal transcribed spacer 2, and large subunit ribosomal RNA". The stretch from base 1 to 120 matches the Rfam family "5.8S ribosomal RNA", at positions 35 to 154 of the family's 154-position model. The record is from RNAcentral.
GAUGAAGAACGCAGCGAAAUGCGAUAAGUAAUGUGAAUUGCAGAAUUCAGUGAAUCAUCGAAUCUUUGAACGCACAUUGCGCCCGCCAGUAUUCUGGCGGGCAUGCCUGUCCGAGCGUCAUUUCAACCAUCAAGCCCCCGGGCUUGUGUUGGGGACCUGCGGCUGCCCGCAGGCCCUGAAAACCAGUGGCGGGCUCGCUGUCACACCGAGCGUAGUAGCACAUCUCGCUCAGGGCGUGCGGCGGGUUCUUGCCGUAAAACAACCCCCCCUUUUCACCAAGGUUGACCUCGGAUCAGGUAGGAAUACCCGCUGAACUUAAGCAUAUCAAUAAGCGGAGGA